RNAcentral lists this non-coding RNA (25 nucleotides) under Rattus norvegicus (Norway rat). The record is from RNAcentral. Lineage: Eukaryota; Metazoa; Chordata; Mammalia; Rodentia; Muridae.
GUCAUAAGUCAUGGAUGGUCCACUC